This 204-nucleotide long non-coding RNA is filed under the name Struthio camelus australis. RNAcentral's name for it is "lncRNA (ENSSCUG00000015838.1)". Lineage: Eukaryota; Metazoa; Chordata; Aves; Struthioniformes; Struthionidae. The record is from RNAcentral.
UAGCCUGCUGUGUGACCUUGGCGUCUCUGUGCCAAAAGGUGAAGAUGUGGAACUUCCUGCUGUGCUCCCUGGAUGAGAGCUCUGCUGAGAUUCACAGUCCUCCACCAGUCUGACAUCCCUUGCCUCCUACAGAGAGCAGAGUGGCACAAAUCUACUUGAUUUCCAGGGGAACAGGGUUGGUCCCAGCUUUAAAAAGAGAUGGCU